Drosophila innubila is the source of this 129-nucleotide long non-coding RNA. RefSeq lists it as uncharacterized. Lineage: Eukaryota; Metazoa; Arthropoda; Insecta; Diptera; Drosophilidae. The record is from RefSeq and is a predicted model, not a curated record. The transcript has 2 exons.
GUCGGCAGUCGGCAGUCAGUUCAGUUCAGUUGUUAUCGGAACUUGCUGCCGCUGUCAUGUCCGAGACGUCGACGCGCACGCGGAAAUAGUUACAUAUACACAAGAGAUUGCAAUAAAUAAAUGAGAAAA